Molecule: ribosomal RNA, 253 nt
Filed under: uncultured bacterium
Lineage: Bacteria
Description: partial 16S ribosomal RNA
Rfam family: Bacterial small subunit ribosomal RNA
Source: RNAcentral
UACGAAGGGGGCUAGCGUUGCUCGGAAUCACUGGGCGUAAAGCGCACGUAGGCGGCUUUUUAAGUCAGAGGUGAAAUCCUGGAGCUCAACUCCAGAACUGCCUUUGAUACUGGAGAGCUUGAGUCCGGGAGAGGUGAGUGGAACUGCGAGUGUAGAGGUGAAAUUCGUAGUUAUUCGCAAGAACACCAGUGGCGAAGGCGGCUCACUGGCCCGGUACUGACGCUGAGGUGCGAAAGCGUGGGGAGCAAACAGG